Triticum dicoccoides is the source of this 3218-nucleotide long non-coding RNA. RefSeq lists it as uncharacterized. The transcript has 3 exons. NCBI's taxonomy places the organism in Eukaryota, Viridiplantae, Streptophyta, Magnoliopsida, Poales, Poaceae. The record is from RefSeq and is a predicted model, not a curated record.
GUCCUCAACUUGGGCCCGAGGCGGGAGGGCGCCACCCCGGCGCAGGGCAGGAGGUGGGCGAGCGUGGCCCUCCAGCGGCGAGUCGCUCCGCCACCUAGUGCAUCCACGGGCGAUGUGCCCUCGCCACCACAACGAACGCACAAUGUCUCAUUCUGGCAGUACCGCGAGAUGUGCCUGUCAUCCCCGCGAUUGUAGCAGCAGCCAUGGAGGCAGGCUGGGAUGCAGGUCUCGGCGGGCGCGUGGUGGGGAGGGUCGGAGAGGUCCGGCGGCGCGCGCCAGUAUGGGGAGGGCGAGCCGCAGGGCUCCGCGGGCGGCGAGAGGCCCUUGUCUGCCAAGCCGACGGGCAAGGUGGUGGGGGGCACCCACCAGGACCGGGCUGGACGAUGGGUCCGAAGGCUGUGCCAAGCACAUAAGGCACCAGAACCAUGGAACGAAGAGGCGGCCGGGGAGGAGGCGGCGGCGACCCCGCGAGGAGGACGAGGAGGACCCCGAGAGAGAAACCUGUGAUGCUAUGAGGGACGGCGGGAGGGUGGACGCUGGCACCAGAGUGGUGGCCGCCGGGGCCGGGGCGGCCGGCCGGCGCUCAGGGGCGUUGGUCUCGCUAAAAAAGUAUUCACGGAUGAUGAUGAUAAAGAAAGGGGUUUGGAGAAUUAAUUGCCUUUUAGAGCUGAUGCUGCUCUUCUGAAAGUUGGUGCGAAAUCCAGUUGCAUUUCCGAACAGCGAUAGGAUCUCAGCUACUGCGGUCGCCUCAUUUCCCAACGGGCAUAUGAAAACGAUAACAUCGUCAGCAUAGAGAGAUGUCCUAUAUCGAAUGGGUAUGCUUCCCAGGGGAGAUAAAAUGCCAGCCUUGCUCGCCUUGUCAAGCAUCCUGCAAGGCAAUUCUAAUUACAAGGGGAAGAGGGGGUCCCCCUGCCUCAGCCCUCUGCGAUGAUCAAUUUUCUCUGCCAAUUCUAAUUAACCAAUGCCCUUGUUGAGGCCGUGGAAAGGAACAUAAAUAUCCAGCACCUCCACUUCUCGCCAAAGCCUCAAAAAAAAUAAAAAAUCCCACGCAACAGUGUCAAAUGCUUUUGAGAUGUCCAGCUUGAUCAACAAAGAAGGUGUCUUAUGCUGCCUCAGGGAUAUUGUCAUUGCCUGCACGUACAUGAAGUUGUCAUGGAUUGACCUCUGAUAAAAGCAUUUUGGCAUGGGGCAAUAAGAGUGUGCAUCUUUGGUUGCAGUCUUGUGGGCUCAUGUCUAGAAUCUUUGCGACAAGCUUUGCAAAAAAAUGGAUCAUGCUUAUCAGCCUGAACUCGUUUGGUUGCGCUACCCGUGAGUGUUUUGGCAGGAGAACUAGGGUAGCAGUGUUCAGAAGAUGCAACGAAUGGGAAUUGAGCGUCUGGAGCUUUUGCAUUGUCAACAUAACCUCGUUCUUGACAGUAGUCCAACAGUGCCUAAAGAACAGUCCCGUAAAACCAUCCGGACCCGAUGUUUUCUCUGGGUGGAUAUCAAAGACUGCCUUCUUCACCUCCUCUUCUGUGAAGUCCCUUUCUAGAUCAGAGUGAUCGCAGAAUUCCAUUCCAAGCUGGGCAAGAUUGAGUCCAGCGGUUGGAGGUUGGUAAGCACAGAGAAUGCUAUUAAAAUGGUCCCAAAAAUAUCCUCCUUCUGCUGCUGGUCCACCACCGUGACAUCCCCAACCUGCAGGGACUGAAUCAUAUUCUUUCUAGAUCGCGUUGUUGCCUUCAUACGGAGAAUUUUUGUGUUUCUAUCUCCCUCCUUUAGCCGAAGGAAACGCGACUUCUGCCUCCAUAUUGCUCUGUCAAGAUCCGCCAAACCUAGACAUUGCAUCUUAUUGCUCUUGCUAUUGAAUGGAUUAGGUUCUGACCUGCACUUGCAUUUGACCUUGGUCACAUAGAAGCCAGUGGGCCAAGUCAUGACAUGGGCUUGGAGCAGCCGUUGAGCAUUAUAAAAGAAGCAGUACAGAUUGAAACGUCUUGAAGCCUCUCAUCCUCUUGCUUCUGUUUCUCACCUUCCCCUACCUGUAUCUCACCCUUGUUGCUGAUUCUCACCUCAAAUCCCUUCUCUUGUAUCCGAAAUCGGCACUGAUCUGAUUGCUCAUCCCAUGUAUGUGUUUGGGUCGUGACAUCCUGCUAACGGAUUUACCAAGGAAAGGGAUUCUGGCUGAAAGAGAUGCGGGUGUGGGAGAUCGUCUCUCUAGUCGCAUCUUCUCUGUCUCUCUCUCUCUCUGUAUGUGAUUUUUUGACAGUACUGUGCAAUUUUCACUCCAAUGUACUUGAGCUUUUCAAAGUUGAACUGUUUUUCACUUUUUCUGAAAGAUCUUAAUCCUUAACUGCUAUCUACAUUGUUCCGUUGCCCUAGUUAGUUGUUGUGAAUAUGCCAGGGCUUAUGUUGUUGAAUUUGAGUGAUUUUGUCUUCAGUGCAAUACAAGCAUACACACAGAUUUAAUUUGACGUGUGUUCACGACUAUGGCGGACUUGAAGAGAAAUGAGCACGUUGGAGAGCGCUCUGUGUUUCCUUACCUGACCGCUCUAGUCAACUGCGCCCUUUGGCUUUGCUACGGCAUCUCACCAAUGGGUAGCAGUCUCAUAAUUGUGAUCAAUGUGUUCGGGGCUGCAUGGGAGAUCUAUUACAUUUACACAUUCCUGUACUUCUGUGAGGAAGAUCAACGUCCGUGGGGAUUCAUUUAUGCGUGGUUCGGAAUCCUUAUUGUUUUUCUAGCAGAUAUGGCAAAAUACAAGUUAUUCUUCAGCUGGGCCUGCGCCCUGUGUGGCAGUUUGGUAUCGGUUUCCCCUCUGUUCAACUUGGGGACUGUGCGUCGGCAGAAGAGCAUGGACUCGAUGCCACCAUUGCUUCAAGUGGUGUUGUCUUUGGCGAACACAACGCUCUGGCGAACACAACGCUCUGGGCUGGAUACGCCUACAUGGCUGAAAAAUGCGACAAUUUCAUCUUUUACCCAAGCUUGGUAGGAUUCUCCUGCGCUGUUAUCCAGUUGGUUCUUCACAUCGCCUUGAGGCAGCACGGUGACUCUGAGUUGGACGAGGCGCUUGUGUAGGUGGCGCGGCAUCCGGGAUGACACAUGAAUGUGAAGAACUGCAGCAGGAUAUUUAACUCAUCAUCUAUCCUUUUGUUAUAUAUCUAUAUGGCAUUGUUGGCAUGUUAUGAAGUGUCUGCAUGAAGAACAUAGACAUGCAAAUUGGAGCAGCUCGUGCGAUAUCUAAACA